AUGUCUAUCCCCUUAACUCCUAAUCUGUUAUCAAACACCUACUACCACCAUCCACUAUACCAUGUGGUUAGAAGCACACUGGAAGAACAUCCGUCAAGCCCUGCUGCUUCUUUUCACUGCUGCUCUUCUCAUUGGUGUCACCAUGCUUGCCAUUUCAUCCAACAUUAAUCCAGUAGGCUACUUCUUCCUAGGGGUAGGUGGAGUGUGCCUGACUGGAUAUUUGCUGUGUGUGUUUGUUGAGUGUUACCUGAAGAAUCAGCAUCGACAUGACACAAACGAAUUACCUCCAAACAGUCAAAGCCAAGAGGGGAUAAAUGCUGCCUAUGAAGCACCUACAUACGAGGAGGUGAUGACUAUGUCAGUGCCAGCAAUAUGGACAAUAGCAUCCAAUCCAGGCUCAGUGCCCUCACCACUGAGCGAACCGCCUCCUUAUAAUGUCGUUAUUGAAUCAACUGCCCAAGGAGAGACUGCGGUGGUAAUUCCUGGGGUCUCAGUGGCAUCAAACACAAGGAGCAUCUCCGAAACAGACAGAGACCCCAGGAUGCACUUGCAACUGGUUCUGCCUCCAAGCCAGCAGUGCUUUGUUUCAGACACCAAUGCAAUGAAAGGUAAUGCAGAUAGGUAUGAGCCACUGGAACCACUCACUCCACCACCUGCUUAUGAGAGUGCCAUCAAUGAUGAGGUCUUUGAAGACGCUUUCCAGCCCUCCAUAUUAUGAUCAAUUCCACUUUCUAUGAAUGCAGGACCAGACAUUCACCUUGAUAUAUUAAGUUUGUCUUUCCAUUCUUUGAAGCAAAGCUGAACUAGCAUCUAUUUCACUAGAGCCCUUUUGCACAGAAUAUAACUCACUGCAAUACCACAGUGCCUCAUCUUGGCACAAGAUAAACAAAGCCACUGAGAAGAACGUUGUGUGAUAGACAGCAGCAACUCAAACUGGAGAUGCACCUUUUGUGGGAAAGAAAGUGAAUCGUAAAGAAAGACAACCUGUAUUGGAAAGGAGAGGAUCAGAAGCAUUUCAAACAGCAGUAUCACAGAGCAUUGCGAUCAUCAGCCAACUUGCAUUUCUUACUAAGAGACUGAGACUGCAGUUCAUGAUUAUAAGAGUGUUGGUACAACACACAUUUAUUUUCCGUGCUGUUUGCUGCCACCCCUCUGCUGCACUCCCACCUCUGCUUUAGUUGUACUGUGACUAAGAAGAGGGUGGCUGUGCUCAUUUGAAACCUAGCACCUACCACUUCUCUGCUAACCAGCUUGAGGUUGAAAAGCUCACAGCAGGAAUGGCAUUACAAUUUUACACAUGAUGUUCAGAAAGUUCUUAUCCUACACAGCCUCCAGAUUUGACUGGAGGAAGACAAUAGCAUUUUUUUCUCCCUCUGAGAGAGGGAGAACCUAUAGAUACCCUCUAUCUGGAGCACCAAUUUUUACAGUUCUACAGGAGAGUUUAUUUAUGUUACAGUGCAGGCUCAAACAGACUGCUCAAGAUACUUCAUUGUCUUCAUGGCACACAUCAAUGUAAAAAGGUCAACAACUCAAGUUCAUUGUAACAACCUCAUGCAUUGAGGUUCUUUCCAGAACCUGGAAAGGACAAGCCUCUCCGUCAAGGCUGUGACUGCAGCAGAGAGCACUUACAAAUAGGAACCACAAAGCACAGAUGGCCUUCACCAAGACAGCUCUCCUUUUGAGUCAGGUUUGAGCUCUCUCAAUUAGCGGUGCUAAAAAGUGUUUUUAAAUGGGCCAGUUAAACUAUUAGGAUCUGCAGCACUAAAGUGGUUUGCAGUAUGCAAAGAGACAUUGAGAUCUGAUGAAUGUCGAAGUUUUUCAAAAACAGAGAAAAAUGGUCAUCCAAAUCUCCUUAUGAUUGAGAAUAACCAUCAUCACAGCAUUGUUUCCUACAACUACAUCAUUUUUCACUCAUAUCAUAAGCUAAAAGCAAAUAAAUUAUUUCUUAUUGCUUGAUUCUUUAUAGUU
This is a long non-coding RNA of Phasianus colchicus (ring-necked pheasant), 1968 nucleotides long. NCBI's taxonomy places the organism in Eukaryota, Metazoa, Chordata, Aves, Galliformes, Phasianidae. The record is from Ensembl.